RNAcentral lists this ribosomal RNA (492 nucleotides) under uncultured bacterium. RNAcentral's name for it is "partial 16S ribosomal RNA". It matches the Rfam family "Bacterial small subunit ribosomal RNA", at positions 29 to 507 of the family's 1533-position model. The record is from RNAcentral.
AGUGAACGCUGGCGGUAGGCCUAACACAUGCAAGUCGAACGGCAGCACAGUAAGAGCUUGCUCUUACGGGUGGCGAGUGGCGGACGGGUGAGGAAUACAUCGGAAUCUACUUUUUCGUGGGGGAUAACGUAGGGAAACUUACGCUAAUACCGCAUACGACCUACGGGUGAAAGCAGGGGAUCUUCGGACCUUGCGCGAUUGAAUGAGCCGAUGUCGGAUUAGCUAGUUGGCGGGGUAAAGGCCCACCAAGGCGACGAUCCGUAGCUGGUCUGAGAGGAUGAUCAGCCACACUGGAACUGGGACACGGUCCAGACUCCUACGGGAGGCAGCAGUGGGGAAUAUUGGACAAUGGGCGCAAGCCUGAUCCAGCCAUACCGUGUGGGUGAAGAAGGCCUUCGGGUUGUAAAGCCCUUUUGUUGGGAAAGAAAAGCAGCAGGUUAAUACCCCGCUGUUCUGACGGUACCCAAAGAAUAAGCACCGGCUAACUUCGUG